This 357-nucleotide unclassified non-coding RNA is filed under the name Hevea brasiliensis (rubber tree). Lineage: Eukaryota; Viridiplantae; Streptophyta; Magnoliopsida; Malpighiales; Euphorbiaceae. The record is from RNAcentral.
CAACCCUGUAGCUUGCGAGUGAUGCCUCAUUUUUGGGGAGUACAGAUAAUGUUGCAUAGGCUCAAGCUUAUGUCUAUUUAGAUAAUUGUGAGACUACUCUUUCGAAGGUUGGGAUGUUUCAUUUUUCUCUUCUCAAGAACUUUUUUUUGGUUUUCCUCCAUAAACUACUUGGUUGGUGGGUCAGCAUUACUAAGUAUAGGGGCAGUAAAUCUCCAUUUUAGUUGUCAGUGUUACUAUGUUUUAAUUGAUUCUUAUAAAUCCAAAUAGUGGUGGACACAGGCCAAUCCAGGUUCAUGACUGGGAGGAACCUGAACAGGACCAAGGGCCCGGUUUCCCAUGGUUCUGAUUUGAUCCGAG